UACGUAGGGAGCAAGCGUUGUUCGGAUUCAUUGGGCGUAAAGGGUGCGUAGGCGGCGCGGUAAGUCGGGUGUGAAAUCUCGGGGCUUAACUCCGAAACUGCAUUCGAUACUGCCGUGCUUGAGGACUGGAGAGGAGACUGGAAUUUACGGUGUAGCGGUGAAAUGCGUAGAUAUCGUAAGGAAGACCAGUGGCGAAGGCGGGUCUCUGGACAGUUCCUGACGCUGAGGCACGAAGGCCAGGGGAGCAAACGGG
RNAcentral lists this ribosomal RNA (253 nucleotides) under uncultured bacterium. RNAcentral's name for it is "partial 16S ribosomal RNA". It matches the Rfam family "Bacterial small subunit ribosomal RNA", at positions 524 to 776 of the family's 1533-position model. The record is from RNAcentral.